RNAcentral lists this long non-coding RNA (6043 nucleotides) under Sus scrofa (pig). RNAcentral describes it as "lncRNA (ENSSSCG00050049252.1)". Lineage: Eukaryota; Metazoa; Chordata; Mammalia; Artiodactyla; Suidae. The record is from RNAcentral.
CUUUCUUUCUUUUCUUUCUUUCUCUCUUUCUUCCUCUCUUUCUCUCUUUCUUUCUCUCUUUCUUUCUCUUUUUUUUGUUUAUAUCCAAUUUUUCAAGUACCAUUUGUCCAAAAGACUACACUUCUUCCACUGAAUUAUCCAUGCCUUUUGUUGAAAACCAAUUGUCUGAAUAUUUGUAGGUGUAUUUUUAGACUAUCUAUUCUGUUCUAUUGACUUCUUUGACUAAUUUAUGUCAAUACCACACUGUCUGGAUUAUUGUGCCUUUACAACAUGUCUUGAAAGUACAUAGUGUAGAUUAAUUUUUUUCCUUCUUUUUCAAGAUCUCUUACAUUUCUAUAUUAAUUUUAGAAUCAGCUUAUAAAUUUUGCAAAUAGCUGAAAUUUUGAUUGGAAUUAUUUUGAAUCUAUAAAUCAAUUUUGGAAGAAAUACCUUCUUAAAUAAGUUGAGCCUUCUGGCCUCUGAAUUUUGUAAAGUGCAUCAAAUUUUCUAUGUGUUGUAGCAUCAAGACAGUUUUACUUUUUACUUAUCCUUUUUCAGUAUGGAUUCCUUUUAUUUCUUUUUCUUACCUUAAGCUUCACUGGCUAUAACCCACAGUAGAAAUUGAACAAAAGUGGUGAGACCAGACAUCCUUGUAUGUUUCUGAUCUUUCAGGUAGAAAACAUUCAUUGUUUUACCAUUAAAUACGUUUGCUUUAGGUGUUUCAUAAAUACCCUUUGUUAGGUUGUAGAAGUUCCCUUCUGUAUUAGUUAUCUUUUUCUACAUAAAAAUAAACACUCAAAUUUAAUGGUUUAAAACAACACUUAUUACCCUACAGUUUCUAUAGACCAGAAAUCCAGACAUAACUUAGCAGUUUCUUUUGAUUCUGAGCCUCUAUAAGGCUCUAUAAGACUGCUCAGAAUCAAGAGAAACUGCUAAGUUAUGUCUGGAUUCCUGGUCUAUAAGGCUGCAGUCAUCUCAAGGUUCAAUUGGGACAGAGACACUUUGUGGCUCACUCACAUAGUUGUUCGUUCUGAAAUGCAGUUGAGUUCCUUGGAAAAUGUUUGGUCCUUUUGAGUCUUGCUUUAUGACUUUUUGGGCAUCUGUAGCAGUGCUCAAUCUAGGGCUAAAUAUUCCCCACUUUCCUAAAUAAUACUCCAUGCAAACCAUGUGAAGAAUUUUUUUUUUAAUUUAUUUCAGAAAGCAGAGAAUUAUUUAAAUAAAUUAAAAUUCAGACUCAAAGUGGCGAGUCCUCGGUAAACAUCUUAGGCUUUUAUUUGAGAAAGUCUAUGUCCUAGGAGUAAGGAUUAUGCCCUAAGUGUAAUAAGACUUGGACUUAGGCUUUUUAAAAUUAGUAUGUUUCAGUUUUGCCUUUAUUCCAAGACAGAUUUAUUUUUUACAAAUUUUGAAGUAUAAUUUGCUAUUACUAGACCUGUGAAGAAGCAGGAAAAAUUUACUGAUGAACAUGAACUUUUAAAAUGCAACAGGAGCAAAUCAAGGGAUAAUCUUGAUAUUGGAUUUAGCAGAAAAUGACUUCAAAAAAAACUUUUCAAAUAUUCUUACUCAUGCAAAAAUUUCUAUUUUGAAGGUAAUUAAAAACUUUUGUUUCUCUUUCUAUUUCUGGGAUAACAAUUCUAAUAUUCUCAGAUAAAUGAAUGAACUUUUAAGAGUAGGAAAGAGAUCAGUGUAAGAAACCAAAAAGAAGAAACAUCAUAAAUAAAGUUUAAUAAUGUAUUAUCCCUGGUGAAAUUGCAAAUUUAAAGAUAAAUAAAAUAUAGUUUUAUACUUACCAGAUUGAGAAAGAUGAAAAUCUGUUUUAAGAUUGCAUUCUGCUACAACUUGGAGGGUUUAAAUUGCAUAUACUCAGUAACAUGACAUUAUAUAUAAGAAUACAUAAAGCCCUUAACAUUUUUGAUGCUAAUUUCAUUUCUUAAAGCACAUCACAAGAAAACAGUUUUAAGAUAAGGCAGAGAUUUCUGUGGAAGUCUGUUUAUUUUAAACUUAUUAACAAUAGAAAAAAUAAGGAGACAUAUAUUUCCUACAAAGUUGAUUCAUUAAGUGUUCAUCCUUGCUAUGAAAAAGUAUGCAGUCAUCUAAAAUAUUUAUUUAUUUUAAAUAAAUAUAAUAUAUGCAUAUGAUAUACAUAUAUACACGUAUGCAUAUAUGUAUGUAAAUAUAUCAUAUGUACCAUAUGUUCUCAAUUAUUUAAAUGAAAUUAUAUACAGAAAACAACUAGAAAAAUGCAUAGUGAUAUUAAAUAUUGAUCACUUUUAGCUAUAAGAACUGUAACUCAAAGUUAUGAUAAUAGAAUUUAAGUUCACUGAGAAAAAGAAUCUUUUUAAACUAUUUUUGUGUAUUUCAUAGCAUCUAGCUUAGUGCAUAGCAUACGUGUUUGAAAAAAUCUGUUGAAAAUAAAUUUAUGAAGUGAUAGAUAACAAUCAAAAUCAAUAAUUCAAUAAUCCAGAAUUUAUUUUGUAAAAAAUUGUGUAUAUAUUUCAGAAUAUUUGCUAAUUAAGCUCUGUCUUUCUUAGAUCUUAAUAACAAAUAUAAAUAUGAUGAUUUUCACUUGUUAGUCAUUGUUGUGGGUACUCUAUGUGAAUUAAAAUACAAAUCUUUUAUAUUACCCUAUGAAGAAAUUCAGGCAUGGAGAAGUUAAAUAACUUGACUGAAGUCCCACAACUAGUAAGGAUGGAAACUCAGAAAAGAAACUUGAAAAUACAUAAUUUCAAGCUUCAGAAUGGAUAUAUGUCAACAAAAACCAGUCCAUUUGUUGGAAAAUUAAGUCCAUCAUAACUGCAGUUUUCUUGUAAAGAGCAAUAACAGCCUGGCAGGCACAGUGUUAUGUGUAGACUGGAUUGAAUCAAAGCAGCAUUCUCCUACUUUCCCUAUGUAUAGGAAGUGAUCCUAACAAGAAUCAGAUUUUUCCUGGACCCAUAACAGAGGAAACAACUUCUGGCACAGUAAUUCUUUGAAAUGGAACCAUGAGGGAGACAUGUAACAGGAUGGAAAUUAGACCCCUGGACUCAAGUCGUCAGCUUUCUCAGUAUUCCAAAGCAUAAGCAGAACCUUCAUUUUGUUUUAAUCACUUGACUGUAUUGAUACUUAAUAACUCAUAUGAUACUUAAAAUUCAGAGAGACAACGGUGGAGAAAAGAUCUUUCAACGUAAUAAGGAAUAAAGGAACUUAUCUUAGAAAAAAGUGACAAUGAAGGAAGAAAUCCUGACCUUCAGUUUUAUUAAUAAUAAUUAUUAUUAUAUUAUUAUCAUAUUAUUUAUCUAUAAAAAAUAUUUGACAAGAAAUUGUAGUUCUCCUGUGAAGAUCAAGAAACAUCCUGAUUUACAGCUAUAAAUAAUACUUCUGAAAUUGUAGCAAUCCAUUAAAGGAAAAAGUAAGAGCAAGGUGUUCCCAAGCACUGUUCCUUUCACAGAUAUACAGUCCUUAGAAAUUUCAAAAAGAGCUACUUAUUUGCAAGUGUAUAGUUUCUGAAUUUUGAGAACUAUAUUCUAGAGGAUCAUUUUUCGCAGCCCGAAGAAUGAGCUGAAUCCAAUGAAGGAAAGCAAAGGUUAACUGAGUUAUCCAGUAGCAUCUUCUGUCAGGAAAAAAAAAAAGAUAAAAGCCUCUAGACUUCAUGGGGAAAGAUGACUAUACCACACGAGUUCUAAGCCACAUGAUCAGGACAAGUGAGUUACAAUACAGAAAAAGACUAAGGUAAGACAAGUAGAGCAUCUUUGUGUCAGUAAAGGGUGUACUAACAAGAAAAAUCUGAGCUCGAAUUAUGAGGCUCAAGAGAAAAAGCAGUGGGUUUUUUUGAUGGUGGGAAGAGUGUGGCAAGUGUCUUUUUCACUGAAAGGUUAGUUUUGGCCCUUACACCUCUUAGUGUUGCUUCAGCUGUACAAUGUCUUUGUCAAACCUAGGCUCUUCAUUCUAAUAAUUAAAAGAGACCAGAAAGCAUUGCUUAUCCUGGAUUCACUCACUUCUCUGUUAUAAACAUAGAGAAAUAAGCCUUUUGGGAGAGCUCAGUAUGUUUUCUGAUGAACUAGAAACCACAGUGGGAUUUCAACACUCAAUUUUAGCCCUAGGUUAAGUCAGGGAAUGUAGUGUCUCAAAAUUAGAAUAAAAUAAAGAACUCAUUAAAGACAUGUUAUAACCAUGAGCAUUGAGUCUUGGAUAAGACUUUGAAAGAAAGUGAUAAUAAAUUACACUUCCACUGUAUCAAGAAAUAUGUGAUGAUUUCUGCCCGAGACACUAUCAUGUAAGUAAACCUGGUGACUAUCUAUGUAUAAAAAUCAGCGAUCACAUUUAUUUAUUUGUUUAUUUAUUUGCAUCAAAACUAGAAAGUCUGUUUCAUUACUAGAAAUUAUUUUAUAUUCCUGGUAGCUGCAACAGCAUGGGCCUUGAAGAUACUAGAGACUCAUUCUUAUUAAGACAUUAGCUGAUACAUUUAGAAAAUUUUUUAGCUGCAAAAAUAACAGGAGGCCAACUGCUUAACAAUAAAAAACAAUUGAAAAGAACACUAAACAUGUAUUAUUUCUCUGUAAUCUCAAAAUUUAUAGGUUGUAGAUGAUGGAAAUCAACUCUAGCUGAUUUAAGAAAAAAUUUUCGAAUAGAUGGCUCCCAAAAUCUCUGCACCGAUCCGAGAAACAGGUGCAGAGGUUUGCAGCCAAGGAUGAAACUAAAAUCAUCUUGCAAACCUUGUCCCAUGAAAACACCACUGUUGAGACCCUUGGGCAUGGACAGACCAGCUUUCACCACUGGCACUACCAAAGCAGAACCUGAGACAUUGGUGUUGGCAAUGCUGCCCAGCUGCCUCUGGAAAGUGGACAUAGCUACUGCUGGUGGACUACCCUCACUUGAAGUGUUUCCUCCUGGUCCAUGCUCUUUCAUAUCACAAGCUCCUGUUAAGAUAGGGCAGAGUCUAGUUUGCGAGAAAAAAUGGGAAAGUGGCAACUUUGGUUUUAUAAUGUAAGGUUGACUUUACGUAAUAGUGAGGAGGCAUCCUAGCACAGAAAGAGGAUUGGAUUGUUGGAUAGUCAAAAAGAAAGACAAAUGUCCAUUGCUCCCACAGAAUCAGAAGUCCAGUUAUUGAGUUCUAGAUUGAUGAUUUAUUAGCUCUGUGCUGUAAGAACCUAGAUUUUUCCUGUCUCUUCCCUCUGCAGUCCUCAGUAAGUUGACCUUUGGUUUUUGCUUUUUUUUUUUUCUUUUCAAGUUGUAUUUCUUCAUUUGCUUAUGUUUCCUAAGGCAGCUGCAGAAUUUCUAAAUCAGUCUAUAUUCCAGGCUCAGAGAAUAGUGCCAGGAAGAAAACUGUCUGGGCUUAAAGGUAUGAAGUUUUCUAGAUGGGUUGCAUCAAGAGAGACAUUUGAUAUACUUGAAAGACAUUCACUUAAAAGUGCCAGCCCUGGGAGUGAGCGAGAGAGAUGUAAAAUCUCCAAAGAUAAAAUUGUGUUUCUUUUAUUACUGUUUGAGCCCCAGGGGAACAAUAACAAGAAGUCUGCAGAAGCCCUGAGGACUACUUAUUGAUAUGAAGGAAUUCUUGAAGAGGGUUCUCACCAAAAGGAAGGUGGAGAAAGGGAUCAAUGAUUUCAUGAUCUAUUAUUGCUACGUUUACAAUUAUCCUAAAGGGCUCCAACAUGUACCCCACCAAAAUGAUCCAAACCCAUUACUAACAUACCAAUAUUACAACUUUAUCCUUUUGGUCUUAAAAAAAUAUUCUAUUAAAGCAUAAAGAAAGGGUCUUAGUUAAAAUUCUUUCAGUUGUAAGUGAAAAAAACUUAAUCCAAUUGGCUUAAGAAAAAGAAGAACUUAAUGUAUCAUAUCAUGGAAACAUCUAUAGGAGAACUGACUAAGCUUGAGGCAGGAGCUCAAAUGAUGCCAUCAGGACCCUCUUCAUCUAUUUCUACUUCUGUCUUUAUGCCAGUGCCAGUAAUGACAGUGAUGGUUACACAUGGUAUAGCAGCUCCAGAUUUUACAUCCUCACAACUUCAAGGCCAAUGAAAGAAAGAAAGAAAGAAAGAAAGAAAGAAAGAAAGAAAGAAAAAGAAAGAAAGAAAGAAAGAGAGAAAGAAAGAAA